GACGAACGCUGGCGGCGUGCUUAACACAUGCAAGUCGAACGGAAAGGCCCUGCUUUUGUGGGGUGCUCGAGUGGCGAACGGGUGAGUAACACGUGAGUAACCUGCCCUUGACUUUGGGAUAACUUCAGGAAACUGGGGCUAAUACCGGAUAGGAGCUCCUGCUGCAUGGUGGGGGUUGGAAAGUUUCGGCGGCUGGGGAUGGACUCGCGGCUUAUCAGCUUGUUGGUGGGGUAGUGGCUUACCAAGGCUUUGACGGGUAGCCGGCCUGAGAGGGUGACCGGCCACAUUGGGACUGAGAUACGGCCCAGACCCCUACGGGAGGCAGCAGUGGGGAAUAUUGCACAAUGGGCGGAAGCCUGAUGCAGCAACGCCGCGUGCGGGAUGACGGCCUUCGGGUUGUAAACCGCUUUCGCCUGUGACGAAGCGUGAGUGACGGUAAUGGGUAAAGAAGCACCGGCUAACUACGUG
RNAcentral lists this ribosomal RNA (468 nucleotides) under uncultured bacterium. Its description in RNAcentral is "partial 16S ribosomal RNA". It matches the Rfam family "Bacterial small subunit ribosomal RNA", at positions 28 to 507 of the family's 1533-position model. The record is from RNAcentral.